This 497-nucleotide ribosomal RNA is filed under the name uncultured bacterium. RNAcentral's name for it is "partial 16S ribosomal RNA". It matches the Rfam family "Bacterial small subunit ribosomal RNA", at positions 28 to 507 of the family's 1533-position model. The record is from RNAcentral.
GAUGAAUGCUGGCGGCGUGCCUAAUACAUGCAAGUCGAGCGAACGGACGAGAAGCUUGCUUCUCUGAUGUUAGCGGCGGACGGGUGAGUAACACGUGGAUAACCUACCUAUAAGACUGGGAUAACUUCGGGAAACCGUAGCUAAUACCGGAUAAUAUUUUGAACCGCAUGGUUCAAAAGUGAAAGACGGUCUUGCUGUCACUUAUAGAUGGAUCCGCGCUGCAUUAGCUAGUUGGUAAGGUAACGGCUUACCAAGGCAACGAUGCAUAGCCGACCUGAGAGGGUGAUCGGCCACACUGGAACUGAGACACGGUCCAGACUCCUACGGGAGGCAGCAGUAGGGAAUCUUCCGCAAAGGGCGAAAGCCUGACGGAGCAACGCCGCGUGAGUGAUGAAGGUCUUCGGAUCGUAAAACUCUGUUAUUAGGGAAGAACAUAUGUGUAAGUAACUGUGCACAUCUUGACGGUACCUAAUCAGAAAGCCACGGCUAACUACGUG